Molecule: ribosomal RNA, 421 nt
Filed under: uncultured eukaryote
Lineage: Eukaryota
Description: SSU rRNA
Rfam family: Eukaryotic small subunit ribosomal RNA
Source: RNAcentral
CAGUAGCGUAUAUUAAUGCUGCUGCAGUUAAAAAGCUCGUAGUUGGAUCUAGGGUUCGGGCUGAGGGUCCGUCGCAAGGCGUGCACUCUCCGCUUGGCCUCCCUCGCGGUUUCCGCCCGGUUCUCUUAACUGAGUGCCGGGUGAGACCGGAACGUUUACUUUGAAAAAUUGGAGUGUUCAAAGCAGGCGAUACAGCCUGAACAGUAGAGCAUGGAAUAAUGGAAUAGGACCUCGGUUCUAUUGCGUUGGUUUUCGGAGUCCGAGGUAAUGAUUGAGAGGGACUGACGGGGGCAUUCGUAUUGCGGUGUGAGAGGUGAAAUUCUUGGAUCGCCGCAAGACGACCGACAGCGAAAGCAUUUGCCAAGAAUGUCUUCAUUAAUCAAGAACGAAAGUUAGAGGUUCGAAGACGAUCAGAUACCGU